GCCGGGCGUGGUGGGGGUGAGCAGCAGGUCCGCGGUCUCGAACACCGCGUCCAGGCCGGGGUUCGGUCCGCAGCGGCCGGCG
RNAcentral lists this transfer RNA (82 nucleotides) under Lentzea pudingi. Its description in RNAcentral is "tRNA-Ser". The record is from RNAcentral. Lineage: Bacteria; Bacillati; Actinomycetota; Actinomycetes; Pseudonocardiales; Pseudonocardiaceae.